GCCAUUGUAUUUGGCUGAAACGAAGUCGUUUUUUGUUUCCUUUAUAAGGCUAAGAAUGGCCUUCAUCCAGCCAGCCCACAACCGAACCCUAGCCCCCUCUUUUUUGUUUCUCAGUCGGAUCCUAAAGGUCUCUCUAAGCACCAGCGUCGAUCUGCCUUCGCAAAAGAAGACCGGCGGACUCUAGCCCUUGGCGAUAAUCUCCGGCCUUGAGACCCCUCCUUAAACUUCACAUCCGACAAAGCGAAGAGGGAUCUAUGGCAGAUCCAUGAGGUAAGAUUUCUCCUUUCUUUUUUUAUUUUAACACGAUAAUGGACGAUAAAAAAAAGAGUUAUUUGAGAGAAAUCCUAAAGCGACUAUUAAACAGAAAAUCACUUCCAAAAAAGAAUUGCUUUUUGAUAAUGCUUUGUAUUGCUUCUGCUUUUAUGCGUUUGUAUUUCGAAAUGUAUCUACUGUGCGCGUAACCCAUUACAAGUGAUUCUCUUUAGGCUUUAUAGACGAGAGAAGAAGAGAAAAGAAAAAAAAACAAAAAUAAAAUAUACAAUUUUUUUGUCUGUUGUUUUCUUACACGUAUUUGCUGUUGUGGUUUGUCCCUUUCUUCGCAGGUACAGGCGUGCGCUGGCGUGUGUAUGGGAGCCGAGCUAGCGUACGGAGGCUUGGCGUGGUCGCUGGAAGCGUUGUACGGCGUUUGGAGUCUGCAGGGGUUGCGGCGCAAAGGAGGGAGGGGUGACCUAGAGUUGUUGGAGCCUUUUGGGCCAUUUGGGCCUCGUAACAUUGGAUAAAUGGGAUAGGGUAUUAGUGUUGGGUUUUAAUUGACUAGUGGGUUGUUUGGGUCUUUGGGCUUGUAAUAGGACAUUAAUUAAUGGAUUGUGGUUUUUAUUUAUUUUAUUUUGUUUUUUGGGUUUCCAAUGGGCUGGGCAAAUUGGCCUGCUUACACGGUGUAUAGACUGAAAAAGUAUGAAAAUAUACCUUUGAAUAAAC
RNAcentral lists this long non-coding RNA (978 nucleotides) under Gossypium barbadense (sea-island cotton). RNAcentral's name for it is "long non-coding RNA (GBAR_LNC011744)". The record is from RNAcentral. Lineage: Eukaryota; Viridiplantae; Streptophyta; Magnoliopsida; Malvales; Malvaceae.